GGGGAGUUGGUCUCUGUUGAGUACUGCAGACUGAAUGUUUGAAUCACCCCUAAAUUCAUGUUAAACAUCAAACUCCCAAGGUCAUGGUCUUAGAGGUGAAGCAUUCCAGAAACAAAGGUAGCGAAGGGGGAACCUCUUCUUGGUGUUCUUGCAAGAAUGGACACAAGGGAGCCCUCUUCCUCUCUCCCACGGGAGGCUGUAACAAGAAGGAGCCAUUUGCAAACCCAGAAGAGAGUCCUGACCAGACACCGAGCCUGUCCAUGCCUUGUGUUUUAGUCAGCUUUCUCAUCUCUGUGACCAAAAGACCUGACAAGAACAACUUUAAUAAGGAGGAAAACGUUUAUUUGGGGGCUCACAGUUUCAGAUGUCUCAGUCCAUAGAUGGCUGACUCCAUUCCUCGGGGCCUGAGGUGUGUGGCCGAACAGAACAGGACAGAAAUGUGUGGUGGAAGAAAGCAACUGGGAACAUGGCGUCAGGAAGGGCGGAGUGGGGAGCUCACUCUCCAUGGAAAAAUAUAUACUCCAAAGGCACACCCCCGGUGACCCACCUCUUCCAGUUAACUGCAUGUUAAUCCCUAUCAGGUGAUUAAAGCACUGAUUAGGUAAAGGCUCUUAGAAUCCAAUCACUUCACCUCUGAACUCUCUUGCAUUGUCUCUCACAUGAAAACCCUUCACAUCUCGACUUGGACUUUUCUGGCUUCCAGAACUGUGAGAAAGUCAGUUUCCACUGUGGUUCUUUGGUAGCCCGAGCUGAUGAGACAUUGAGAGUCACCAGGUAAGGCCAUUUCUCCUGUCCUUCUCU
This 801-nucleotide long non-coding RNA is filed under the name Marmota monax (woodchuck). Lineage: Eukaryota; Metazoa; Chordata; Mammalia; Rodentia; Sciuridae. The record is from RNAcentral.